This is a long non-coding RNA of Zalophus californianus (California sea lion), 929 nucleotides long. RefSeq lists it as uncharacterized. Lineage: Eukaryota; Metazoa; Chordata; Mammalia; Carnivora; Otariidae. The transcript is spliced from 4 exons. The record is from RefSeq and is a predicted model, not a curated record.
AGAGCUCACAGCCCGCUUGCUGCCGCUUCACGUGGCCGCACCCCCCCCCCGCCCCCAACCUCAUCUGCCACUUGCUCGCUCUCAGACACCACCAGCAAACUGCCAGCAAACCGCCAGCAAACCGCCCUCGGCCGGCUCUGUUCUCCACCCGCCGGCUUUGCCCUGGAGUGCGCUCCCCAAGGCAGGCCUGGGAUGUUCAGCCUUUCACCUCCGUCAGAGAUGGCUUCUGAAUUGAUGGUAAAUAAUACUCAAUGGAAUCAGAGCAGCCUGAAAACUACUUAUGCAUUUAGAUGUGAAAAUGAUGUGGCAGAAAAGGAGUAGCAGUACAUAAUUUUCUUUAGAUGAUUCUGGUGAAAGGAUUUGCAUACAAUUAUCGAGACAAUUUCUGUUCCUAGCGGGAACAAACACAGGAUGAAUGAAUAUUUAUUAAGUGUCUACUGUAUGCCAGACCGUUGCUCCAGGAUCUGCAGAUACAGGAAUAACCAAAACAGUAAAAUGUGCCACCUCCGUGAAGCUUACACUCCAGGAUCAAGGCAGACAAUAAACAAACACACAAAACAUUUAUAGUGUAACAACAAGAGGGGGUAAGUUCUAUGAAAACAAUGAAGGAAUAGCACAGAAAUGACUGGGCGAUGGUGGUUCUUCCACACCCAGAUCUCCCUGAGCUACACACUGCUCAAGUCACACUAAGGACUGGCAGUUUGCCAAAAAAAUCAGGUCCUUCCUCUCUUGUUUAAUGUGUUCCAAUGGCUAUUCCCUGAGCUGAGAGAGCCUGUAGUCUUCAUCCUCACUUGCAAUUUCUAAUUUCACUGUAAGCCUCAGCUUUAGCUUUAGGUCAUUUUAGAAGACUUCUCUCAUUGGGACGAUAUCAAAAUAAAAAAUCUGUACAGAGAAGGAUAAUCAAUAAAACUAAAAAGCAACCCACCAAA